UUUUUUCAUCUACUUCACUAUUUCAAAUACUUUUUCAAAUUGAAACACAAUACGCAUUGCUGGAUAUUAGAUUCCUAGCGAAAAUUUGAGCAAAACUUAGAAAAAUAACAUAAGGAUUUAACAAUUUAGUGAAUCAACACAAACAUAAUACAAUAAGGACUCGAAACUUACCUAAAUCAAACAAAGGAGGGCACUAAAGUGAGCCAAAUGAUGGCAGAAAACAGCAGCUAUAGUUGGACCUUGGUUCAGUUCCGAGCAACAAAAGAAACAAAGUAAUUUUCGACCCAGCUGAGCUUCUUCGAGCCUCAAAUUUGCCUUUCAAAAACCCUUGUAUAUGUUUAUGAGUUUUUCAUUUUUGCUCCUGAUUAUUGUUGCUAGGGAUUAAACCAUUAGGGUAGGGAGUCUGUUCUUU
This 412-nucleotide long non-coding RNA is filed under the name Nicotiana tabacum (common tobacco). Its description in RNAcentral is "long non-coding RNA (NTAB_LNC002745)". The record is from RNAcentral. Lineage: Eukaryota; Viridiplantae; Streptophyta; Magnoliopsida; Solanales; Solanaceae.